This 485-nucleotide ribosomal RNA is filed under the name uncultured bacterium. RNAcentral describes it as "partial 16S ribosomal RNA". It matches the Rfam family "Bacterial small subunit ribosomal RNA", at positions 29 to 506 of the family's 1533-position model. The record is from RNAcentral.
AUUGAACGCUGGCGGCAUGCCUUACACAUGCAAGUCGAACGGCAGCACGGGGGGUAACCCCUGGUGGCGAGUGGCGAACGGGUGAGUAAUAUAUCGGAACGUGUCCUGUAGCGGGGGAUAACCUAUCGAAAGAUGGACUAAUACCGCAUACGACCUACGGGUGAAAGCGGAGGACCGCAAGGCUUCGCACUAUAGGAGCGGCCGAUAUCGGAUUAGCUAGUUGGCGGGGUAACGGCCCACCAAGGCGACGAUCCGUAGCUGGUCUGAGAGGACGAUCAGCCACACUGGAACUGAGACACGGUCCAGACUCCUACGGGAGGCAGCAGUGGGGAAUUUUGGACAAUGGGCGCAAGCCUGAUCCAGCCAUGCCGCGUGAGUGAAGAAGGCCUUCGGGUUGUAAAGCUCUUUCGGCGGGGACGAAACGGUUCGUGCUAAUACCACGGACUACUGACGGUACCCGCAGAAGAAGCACCGGCGAACUACGU